This 232-nucleotide ribosomal RNA is filed under the name uncultured bacterium. RNAcentral describes it as "partial 16S ribosomal RNA". It matches the Rfam family "Bacterial small subunit ribosomal RNA", at positions 524 to 755 of the family's 1533-position model. The record is from RNAcentral.
UACGGAGGGGGCUAGCGUUGUUCGGAAUUACUGGGCGUAAAGCGCACGUAGGCGGCUUUGUAAGUUAGAGGUGAAAGCCCGGGGCUCAACUCCGGAAUUGCCUUUAAGACUGCAUCGCUAGAAUUGUGGAGAGGUAAGUGGAAUUCCGAGUGUAGAGGUGAAAUUCGUAGAUAUUCGGAAGAACACCAGUGGCGAAGGCGACUUACUGGACACAUAUUGACGCUGAGGUGCG